Molecule: ribosomal RNA, 220 nt
Filed under: uncultured bacterium
Lineage: Bacteria
Description: partial 16S ribosomal RNA
Rfam family: Bacterial small subunit ribosomal RNA
Source: RNAcentral
GCAAGUCGAACGCUUACUUAGGUAAGAGUGGCAGACGGGUGAGUAACACGUGGGAAUCUACCUAUCUCUACGGAACAACACAUAGAAAUGUGUGCUAAUACCGUAUACGCCCUUCGGGGGAAAGAUUUAUCGGAGAUAGAUGAGCCCGCGUUUGAUUAGCUAGUUGGUGAGGUAAUGGCUCACCAAGGCGACGAUCAGUAUCUGGUUUGAGAGGACGAUC